UUAUACUUGUUAUCUACCCAAAUAGAAGAUGACCUGGCCUGAACUUAAGAUGACUCCCUUAUUAACAGAGGUUAGAUACAGACUAUACCUGUAUUUACCCAAAAAGAAGAGCACUCUGUAUUUAAGAUGACCUCCCAGUUUCUAACAUGAAAGAACUUGGAAAGAAAACCUAAUCUUGGAUUCAGAUAUGCUACUGUGCCCUGUGGUCAGUUGCUUAUGCAAAUCGAAAGAGUCUCUGCAGCUGUUGUUUUGUCCUGGCGGUCACACACUCCCUGACUUCAACCACUCCAAAAAGAUAUAUAUCCUAAAGGAGAAAACCAGAUGUGUUGGACACUUUACACAAAGAAAGAAGAAGAAAGCAACAGAUUUCAGCGAAACCAGAUUCUAUACUGGGAGUGAGAAAUAGUAUCAUAAAAUCAGAUGUGAUGCUAAGGAGAAAGGAAGCUCUGAUCUGGGCAAUGGAAUCCAGUUGCUUAUCUCCAUCCUAUUACCAAGGCUGCAUCCCUGGGAGAGUUUAUUGUCUGGCAAAAAACCCAACAACCCACAAGUAGAUAUCAAUAAAAUUCCAAAGGGCAGUAAUAGAAUCAUAGUGUUGAAGAGAGAGCGAGUAUUCAGCAAGCCAUCUCAUCUGCCAUCUUGUUUUUGAACAGCAUAUUCUGGAUCUAAGGACUUCCUGUUAAAUGCUUUCCUAAGUUUUCCUUGAACAUUUCAAGGCAGUGCUGACAUCUUUACACCUGAGGUCAACACAAUCUCAGUGUUGCUCCCCAUUUUCUUAGAAAUGAUGACUUCUCUAAAAGUCGCUGCCCUAGAGCUGGCCUUGCUCUGAGGAGGUAGGUUCUGCACCUUCAAAACCUUUCCUUACUUUCUUUAUUUCCAUCCCCUAAGUACAGAACGUCACCUAAAACAAACCAUCAUGUGAAUUGUGUUUUGAAAUUCAAACAAUGAUACAUAGCACUGUGGGGUAGGAGUUUAUUUCAUCUGGCUUUCCACCCCCAUUCCCUUCUCGAUUGGGAGAGGGACUCUGGCUAUGACUUUUGUGUACUUCUCCCUUCAGCUGCUAUCUGUUGUUUUGCUCAGUCUUAAUUGCUUAAUUGCACCUGGGCCAAGUUUGCCUGAUAGGGUGGGUGAGAGCCAUGCCUCUUGGCCUUUUGAACUUUGGGAAAUGAAACACACACAAAAAGAGAAGUUCCUAGUCAACAUUGCAAUAUAUCAAUAGUAGGAGAAUAUACAUAUAAGUGAGGAAUAAACAUACAUUGUACAAAUAUCCCAAUAGGUCAUAACACAAAAUUCAAAAUGCUGAAACAGACAAAAGCUGAGCAAUCUGAAGAAACUCAAUGGGUGAAGACGCAGUUAUUUGAAUGGUGGAAGAGACAAAUGGCUGAGACUUGAAGCACUAGUGAAAGGUUUUGAAUGCCUCCUCAAUCAGAGAUGUGUCUCUUGGUCUCUAAAUACUUUGAAAUAAAUUCUUGAAAUAAAGGAUACAGAAUAAUAACAUACUUUAAAAUCCAAAAGUUCAAAAAUGAAGUGAUGAAUAAUCUUUUUACCAACACUGACUCUGUUAUCUAUUGAAGGAGCAGAGCUCAAAAAUGUCUUGUACCUCCAAUGGCUCUCAUCUGUCUGAUACUAAGAAACAAAAUGAAUAUAUGAAAUAAACC
This is a long non-coding RNA of Hemicordylus capensis (graceful crag lizard), 1655 nucleotides long. RefSeq lists it as uncharacterized. The record is from RefSeq and is a predicted model, not a curated record. The transcript has 4 exons. NCBI's taxonomy places the organism in Eukaryota, Metazoa, Chordata, Lepidosauria, Squamata, Cordylidae.